CCUGCUCAGGAUGAACGCUGGCGGCGUGCCUAAUACAUGCAAGUCGAGCGAACAGAUAAGGAGCUUGCUCCUUUGACGUUAGCGGCGGACGGGUGAGUAACACGUGGGUAACCUACCUAUAAGACUGGGAUAACUUCGGGAAACCGGAGCUAAUACCGGAUAACAUUUGGAACCGCAUGGUUCUAAAGUGAAAGAUGGUUUUGCUAUCACUUAUAGAUGGACCCGCGCCGUAUUAGCUAGUUGGUAAGGUAACGGCUUACCAAGGCGACGAUACGUAGCCGACCUGAGAGGGUGAUCGGCCACACUGGAACUGAGACACGGUCCAGACUCCUACGGGAGGCAGCAGUAGGGAAUCUUCCGCAAUGGGCGAAAGCCUGACGGAGCAACGCCGCGUGAGUGAUGAAGGGUUUCGGCUCGUAAAACUCUGUUAUUAGGGAAGAACAAACGUGUAAGUAACUGUGCACGUCUUGACGGUACCUAAUCAGAAAGCCACGGCUAACUACGUGCCAGCAGCCGCGGUAAUACGUAGGUGGCAAGCGUUAUCCGGAAUUAUUGGGCGUAAAGCGCGCGUAGGCGGUUUCUUAAGUCUGAUGUGAAAGCCCACGGCUCAACCGUGGAGGGUCAUUGGAAACUGGGAAACUUGAGUGCAGAAGAGGAAAGUGGAAUUCCAUGUGUAGCGGUGAAAUGCGCAGAGAUAUGGAGGAACACCAGUGGCGAAGGCGACUUUCUGGUCUGUAACUGACGCUGAUGUGCGAAAGCGUGGGGAUCAAACAGGAUUAGAUACCCUGGUAGUCCACGCCGUAAACGAUGAGUGCUAAGUGUUAGGGGGUUUCCGCCCCUUAGUGCUGCAGCUAAC
RNAcentral lists this ribosomal RNA (856 nucleotides) under Staphylococcus edaphicus. Its description in RNAcentral is "bacterial SSU rRNA". It matches the Rfam family "Bacterial small subunit ribosomal RNA", at positions 19 to 856 of the family's 1533-position model. The record is from RNAcentral. Lineage: Bacteria; Bacillati; Bacillota; Bacilli; Caryophanales; Staphylococcaceae.